RNAcentral lists this long non-coding RNA (1523 nucleotides) under Sus scrofa (pig). RNAcentral's name for it is "lncRNA (ENSSSCG00040072646.1)". The record is from RNAcentral. Lineage: Eukaryota; Metazoa; Chordata; Mammalia; Artiodactyla; Suidae.
GUAUGCCUCAUGACUCAUCCCUCCUCUAGAAGGGAGCUAAGAGGCAACUGAACAUCCACCCAGGACUGCAACUCAAGAUUGUGGAAGCAAGAGUUCUAAAUACCUCUUCAGUAGGUUAUGCCUUUCCCAGAAGGACUGAUCUCAAAGCACAAUUUCCAAGAAUGCUAUUACCAGAAAAAUGGGGACUUUUAACCAACUAUAUACUGUAGAAGAGUGGAACAUGAGGGUCUCAAGAAUUCGAGUGUUUAUGAAGUACCACGAAUGGGCUCAGCUACUAACAUACUUGAUGCUGCUCAGAAUGCCAGUCCUUUGAAAAUCUGUGAAGUAGAAAGUUUGCCCUUGGUGCCCCUAAAUCUCUUGACUUCAACCUCCAUUCCUGGAAUGUUACCUUUCCUAUGCCUGAGGAAAGUCAUCCAGUUUUACCGGGCAAGGUCUUGGGUGUACUCUUUGGAGAAGACUCGAGAGCUUUGUAUGAAAGCAGGAAGCCCGUCUCAUCACCAGGGAUGCAGCAGCUCACUGCGGUUUGGAGUCACCAGACUCAGCUUUGCCUCACUCAGAGGAUUCUUUAGGUUUCUUUACUUAAAAAGGAUAAGAGAGCACCUUGGAGAAAUAACUGAUUCUGGGACCGGGGCAGGAAGUUUAUAAGAAGAACCUGGAACAUCUUUUAGUGCCAGAACGUAGAGAUGCCAGUGGAAGAGGCAGUCGUUGCUGGUUCUCUUUCCUUUCUGAGGACCAGAGGAGCAACUCCCUGUCUCCAUUCAGCUGGGCAAUUUCCUGGUGAGUGGAGAAUCUCCUGGAAACCGCUGGCUGAGUUUCCAGUCAUUGCAGGACCCGGCUGUUGCCUAUUAAAAAGGUACAGAAUGGAAGAUCCCCACUGGAUCAUCAGGCAAAGGCCAAGCCAUUGUUUGUCCUGCCAUACAAUCCUGUCUUCUAGAAUUCUGGCACAUUCUAAUUUCUUUAUAAUUAAAAAUUACAUGUUUAGUAGGCAUGCUGGUAAGUUCCUUUUAAUAUGUCUUUAACUGAUCUCUGUAUUUAUUGUGAAUCCACUGUGUCUAGCUAGCACCAUGGUAGGAGACUUACAUUAUCUUCAGAAGCAGAUCAUUUAUAAUACAUGUUUUGUUCUUUCUUUCAGCAUCAUCUCACAAUUUUUACAAUGGUUUCAGUGUUUCAUAUUUUAAGGUUUUCUUUGUUUCUCUUUCCUUUUAUUUCUAUCACAUUAUGUAAUUAGCUCUUUAUUUAGAAGGGAAGUUAAAAAAGGAAUUAAACAGUUAUCUGAUAAAUUUUUUUUUCAAUGUACAAGGAUUUUUAUUAUUUAUUUUUAUUUUUUUUUAUUAUUUUCCCACUGUACAGCAAGGGGGUCAGGUCAUCCUUAGAUGUAUACAUUGCAGUUACAGUUUUUUCCCCCACCCUUUCUUCUGUUGCAACAUGAGUAUCUAGACAUAGUUCUCAAUGCUAUUCAGCAGGAUCUCCUUAUAAAUCUAUUCUAGGUUGUGUCUGAUAAGCCCAAGCUCCCGAUCCCUCCC